GUAUAGCAUAGCUAAUUGCACCAGAUAAUAACUGAUGCAAUAUCGACUCUGUCGAAUAAAAUUCUAGGUAGAAUUAUGAUAAUGACAUUAUCUGCCUACAUGUCUUGACCAAAUUACGUGCCAGCAGUCGCGGUAAUACGUAGAAGACUAGUGUUAUUCAUCUUUAAUAGGUUUAAAGGGUACCUAGACGGUAAAUCAAGCCUGCGAGGGGACUAGUUUACUAGAGUUACUUGUGAGGGGGUAUUAAAGUACUAAUGGUGUAGAGAUGAAAUUCUGUCAUACCUUUUUUCGGAAGAAAAAUUAUGGCACAGGUAUAGGCGAAAGCAUCCCCUUAUGUGAUAACUGACGUUGAAGGACGAAGGCUUUGUGUCGCGAACAGGAUUAGAUACCCCAGUAGUCAAAGCAGAAAAUGAUGAAUGUCAUAGAUUAGGCAUAUAAUAGUUUAUUCUAUAAAUGAAAGUGUAAGCAUUCCACCUCAAGAGUAAUUUGGCAACAUUGGAACUGAAAUCAUUAGACCGUUUCUGAAACCAGUAGUGAAGUAUGUUGUUUAAUUUGAUAAUCCGCAAAAAACCUUACCACAACUUGAAUAUUUAUGUUUACUUUUUUUUAAUAAAUAUAUUUACAAGCGUUGCACGGCUGUCUUCAGUUAAUGUCGUGAGAUUUUGGUUAGUUCCAUUAAAUUAACGUAAACCCUUGCUUUAUUUUUAUAUAAAGUAGUUCCCCGCUAGAUUGGAUAAGAUAACAGGGA
This 748-nucleotide ribosomal RNA is filed under the name Lecidella aff. elaeochroma ZX 20141264-2. Its description in RNAcentral is "SSU rRNA". It matches the Rfam family "Bacterial small subunit ribosomal RNA", at positions 420 to 1168 of the family's 1533-position model. The record is from RNAcentral. Lineage: Eukaryota; Fungi; Ascomycota; Lecanoromycetes; Lecanorales; Lecanoraceae.